RNAcentral lists this ribosomal RNA (253 nucleotides) under uncultured bacterium. Its description in RNAcentral is "partial 16S ribosomal RNA". It matches the Rfam family "Bacterial small subunit ribosomal RNA", at positions 524 to 776 of the family's 1533-position model. The record is from RNAcentral.
UACGUAGGGUGCGAGCGUUAAUCGGAAUUACUGGGCGUAAAGCGUGCGCAGGCGGUCUGUUAAGACCGAUGUGAAAUCCCCGGGCUUAACCUGGGAACUGCAUUGGUGACUGCAUCGCUCGAGUAUGGCAGAGGGGGGUAGAAUUCCACGUGUAGCAGUGAAAUGCGUAGAGAUGUGGAGGAAUACCGAUGGCGAAGGCAGCCCCCUGGGUCAAUACUGACGCUCAUGCACGAAAGCGUGGGGAGCAAACAGG